Molecule: ribosomal RNA, 348 nt
Filed under: Chaetoceros affinis
Lineage: Eukaryota; Bacillariophyta; Thalassiosirophyceae; Chaetocerotales; Chaetocerotaceae
Description: partial Bacterial small subunit ribosomal RNA
Rfam family: Bacterial small subunit ribosomal RNA
Source: RNAcentral
GUCGUCAGCUCGUGUCGUGAGAUGUUGGGUUAAGUCCCGUAACGAGCGCAACCCUUGUCCUUAGUUACCAGCACGUAAUGGUGGGCACUCUAAGGAGACUGCCGGUGACAAACCGGAGGAAGGUGGGGAUGACGUCAAGUCAUCAUGGCCCUUAUGACCAGGGCUACACACGUACUACAAUGGUCGGUACAGAGGGUUGCCAACCCGCGAGGGGGAGCUAAUCCCAGAAAGCCGAUCGUAGUCCGGAUUGGAGUCUGCAACUCGACUCCAUGAAGUCGGAAUCGCUAGUAAUCGUGGAUCAGCAUGCCACGGUGAAUACGUUCCCGGGCCUUGUACACACCGCCCGUC